CAGUAGCCACGGUAAUACGAAGGGGGCUAGCGUUGUUCGGAAUUACUGGGCGUAAAGCGCACGUAGGCGGAUAUUUAAGUCAGGGGUGAAAUCCCGCAGCUCAACUGCGGAACUGCCUUUGAUACUGGGUAUCUUGAGUAUGGAAGAGGUUAGUGGAAUUGCGAGUGUAGAGGUGAAAUUCGUAGAUAUUCGCAGGAACACCAGUGGCGAAGGCGGCUAACUGGUCCAUAACUGACGCUGAGGUGCGAAAGCGUGGGGAGCAAACAGGAUUAGAUACCCCUGUAGUCCCUGUCUCUUAUAC
Molecule: ribosomal RNA, 301 nt
Filed under: uncultured bacterium
Lineage: Bacteria
Description: partial 16S ribosomal RNA
Rfam family: Bacterial small subunit ribosomal RNA
Source: RNAcentral